GCCCGGUUAGCUCAAUCGGUAGAGCGUGAGACUCUUAAUCUCAAGGUUGCGGGUGAGUAGUUUUCAAACACGAAGUUCCAUGAAAAAAUACUAAUCCUUCAUAGGUUCGACCCCCGCAUUGGGCU
Non-coding RNA from Xylariaceae sp. AK1471, 125 nucleotides. The record is from the annotation of a GenBank genome assembly. Lineage: Eukaryota; Fungi; Ascomycota; Sordariomycetes; Xylariales; Xylariaceae.